Apis mellifera (honey bee) is the source of this 5936-nucleotide RNA transcript. It is a transcript of the gene named protein sprouty homolog 2, with no coding region annotated. The record is from RefSeq and is a predicted model, not a curated record. The transcript has 5 exons. Lineage: Eukaryota; Metazoa; Arthropoda; Insecta; Hymenoptera; Apidae.
ACAACGACGCUAGUAUCGGCGCUGUCCGCCUCCCAAGGCUCAACGACCUCCCCGUCUGCGCGAGUGUCGCCGCAGCCGCCACCCUUGACGCCGCCCCAGUAUCCUGCGCCUCCACGGCCCCCUAGUCGAAACGCAAGAAGUUUCUCCGCGCCGCUACUACUUUGCAUGCGAAGUCAAAACAGCUUCCGACGACCAACUCUCUCUCCGUUUGGCUGGCAAGGGAAGUUGAACAGAGGCCGGCAAACAUCUGUCGUAACGUCUUCGCUGCAUGGGGCGCGCGUUCCCUGUCAGUUAUGACAAAAAGCUGCAACAUCCUGGAAAACGGCGGUGCAAGUGGGGAUGAAGCGCGUGUCGCGAGGGCGAGAGGAAGCGGACGCGGAGCAUUACCGAGCCUCAUCCUCGCUAAUGGAACGCCCUUGUCGAGAGUGUCACCACCUCGCGCGGGCUGGCCAGUGCGGAUCAACGAGGCGACACUUACUACCCCGAGUCAGUCAAUUCAUUAUCAGCAGCAACAACAACAUCACCACCACCAGAAUCAGCAUACAUCGAGUCCAAGCACACAGAGAGCUGUCGAACAAUGGGCUAGCGAGCGGGCAACAUCGUCGGUUUUGUCGGUUGGUCGUUCCGCAUCACCAUCCUCGCCAGAAACAGCAAGGAGACCGGGAACAGGAUCGUCUAGAAGAGUUUUCUCGUCGUCGAGUCGAGUUAGGCCAGGAGGCGGAGGUGGGGGUGACGGAAGGGGAGCAGAAAGAAGCACAGAGAUCGGUAACGGUAUCAAUUUCACGAAUCACUGGCAGGAGGAAGAAGAGCUGGAGGCGAAGAAGAAGGAGGAGCACGGACGGAAGCGUUGCGUGGACACAGCGGCGCAUUGUCAAGCCGAGCAUCUUGAACUGAGAGGUCGGCCGAUGUCGCAAAACAAUGCGAUCGCGCCGCUCUCGCGGCCACCCUCCUCGCAGACGAACGUAAAUGACACCACCGAUGCCGUAGCGAACAGCAACGUUGACGAUGGAGAAGCGCAUUCCGUUCAAAAUGUCACCACCACUGGUCGCGUCCAUGAUCACAAUCGGCCGUUUCCUCCGCCAAGAUUGCCGACCGUGCACGUUGCCACUGCCUCGACAGCGCCCCCUCUCGCGGCAUCGUCGAAUCCGAGAGUGUUGGUCACAGCUCCGCUCAGUCCACUCUCGAACACCUUCCGAAGCAGACCGAGAAACGUGGAUACAUCGACGGGCGAGACGAAUGCGCGGGGAUUGGUAUCGAACGACACGCCACCUAGAAGUCCUAUAAGCGAAGUGAGUUUGACCGUGCCCAGGCCAGACGGAGAGAGGGCGAUCAACGAAUACGUCGAGGCGCCGUUCAAACAUAGCAACCAACAGGAGCGACGGGUCUUCGAGGAUGAGAACAAACGGGGGAUCGGUGCCGAUUGCCCGAAGAUCGACAGGAGGCAUCGGCAGAAAGGUGGUGAUGCGUCCGUCGCGGCGACGCAUCGGCUGCACGCGAGCAGGACUCAAGCGUUUCGUGGUUUGAUCGCGAGCAGUGGGACGAAUGCGACCGCGUCCGCAGGCUCGAUCGCCGCGAACACCGCGACACCGAAUGCGGUGACCAAGCAGCCGGUCUCGUUCACCAAAGAACCGGCUAAUAGCCUCGCUUCUAGGACUUAUGAUCCGGCCGGUUUGUCGAUAAUGUGCAAUUUCUGCGGUAGAUGUCGUUGCGAGUCUUGUCGGGAACCGCCUCCAUUGCCCAGCAAAUGGCUGUGCGACAACAAGUGUUUCUGUUCCGCCGAUACGAUUCUCGAUUACGCUUCUUGCCUGUGCUGCGUGAAAGGACUGUUUUAUCAUUGCGUAGACGGGAAUGGGUCAGGUGGAAUCGAUGGGGAGGCGGCUGCUAGUUGUGCGGACGAGCCGUGCUCCUGUACGGGAAAUAGGAGAGUCUCCAGGUGGGCCUGCCUCGGCGCCUUGACACUCGUCAUGCCCUGCUUAUUGUGCUACUGGCCGUUCAAAGGAUGUGUCGCGGCAUGUGAGGUGUGUUAUGCACGGCACGCAGCCCAGGGAUGCAGAUGUAAUCCGAACACGACUGGGAACGCCGGAAACAGACAUCAUCCGAUCGCGAACGAUAUCGGGGAUUCGAGGGAUCCGGAGAAAAGGUUACUCGACCCUGUCACGCCGGAACUCUAAUUGGAAGAGAUACGACAACGCAGUAAUACCAAUACCACCCGCAGUGUUAUCUCUCACGUAGGGGGGGACACAAAAAUUGCUCUUCUACGCACAGAGAUUGUCCGACAGGAGAGGGGAGCAAAAACGAAAAUUGCAUUAAGUACAAGAGUUGCAUUUAAGUCGAGAAACGAUAAUCGAGAAUGACGAAUUUGUACGUCUAACGUCGCGAGUGUUUUAUUUAUUAUUCUUCCAUGCGCGCGCGAAAAUGCGAAGCGAGCGAGAGAGAUUGAGAGAGCAAGAAAGAAAGAACGAAUGGAAGAACGCGAGAUCGUGUCACGGGGGAGGGAGAUGAUGCUAAAAAGGAUAUAGUGGCGUAGGAAAGAUGAUAGAAUGAUAGCGAGGAGAAAGGGCGAGAAAGAUGACAAGGUACGCGAGCUUGCGUAUUAACGCAGAAACAUACCACUUACGUAUAGAUAGGUCUAUACACGAUAGAAUAUAUAAAUAGUACCGCGCACACACAGAGAACGAGUGCGAGCGUGACCAAGCGAAUGUGUGGAACGUGAACGUGAGAGAGUGAGAGAGUGAAUAGAAGAACCACUAAAGUAUAUUAAACGCGAGCACGUGUACGCGCGUAUACACGCGUUUCUGCUGUUACUUCUUGCUUGAAGCGCGUGUAUGCGCGCAUCUACACUUAGAUUAUAGAUAUGUAUAUUGUAUAUUAUAUUUGUAUAAAGAAAAAUCUUUUCUACGGUUAAUUUAUUCGUGGCUGAAUUGCCAAGUAACACAUAUAUAAAGUUUCGCAGUAAGAGGAGCACGACACGGAGAAAAGAGGCGAGACGAGAGAAGGCCGAGCGAAGACUGGGAUUAUUUGCAAAAAUUAUUUCCAGUCUCUCACCGCUGCGAUAGGAAACGCAUAAAGAGUAUCGGCCGUAAAGAGGAAGAAAGAGGGGAAAGAAAGCAGGAAAGGGCGGGGCAGGGGGAAGGAAAGCUCUGAAAAGAAGCAUUGUCCGUAUUUCCGAAUGUUUUCCUCGGCAUAUGAUGUAUACGCUUUUAUACUCGUUAACAGUGGAAUUGUAUCGAGCGCGCGAGGCCCUGUCGAGCGUUAGAGAGCGUGAUAUGACACGAGAUCGAGAUAAUGCACGCGCGUUCGGGUUGCGUGAGAGCGAGAGAACUGUAAAUCUGUAAGAAUGAACGUUUGCGUUUAUGUGUGUAUGUUAAGUAUGUAUGCGUAUGUGGGUGUGCUUCAUGGGGUCGACGAGAAUGCGGGCAGAUGGAAAAAGGACAAUUGCGUGGGGGGCAUAAGCGCGAGGAGAAGAAAACACAGAUCAGGAGGAGGGAGUGGGGAGAAAGAGCAACGCACGCCUGAAAUCUCUUCUACUAUUAUCUAGUCGUGCGAGUUUAAUUAAAUAUCGUUUCGUUAGGGAACGGGGGAAUGACAAAAGCGAUACAUGCAUGCGUGAUGGUUGCUAAACUGAUGCUGUUAUUGGCUCCGCUCUCUGCUUUACAAGGAGAUUGGAUUUGGACGAAGGAAAUUCGCGUUAACUGGAUCUUUUUCUUCUUUUUUUCUUUUUUCCUUUUCUUUUCCUUUCUUUUUUUUUCUCUCUCUCUCUCUCUUAACAAACGUUGACUUAACUUAUAUAUACAGGGAUAAUCGUUUUCCUCAUUAGUUCAAGUCUACUUCUCAGGCAAGAUUUAGAAAAUAAUUAACGCUUUGAGAUUCUUUGAUGUUGGAGCUGCCACUGCAGCCCGCAACGGCGUUUAAUUGCACGGUAACAGCGCUUCCCACGCGGACGGAAUUCACCGAACGAAGGUGUGUUAACUUUCCAUUCCCGAGCAGCUUGAUCGUUGAAGAAUGUACCACGCUGUCGAUGUUCCACGAGGACACACACAUCGUCGUCUUUAUGAUCGUACGAUUGUUUCGUUGUCGAAAUUUAUUAUCUGAAAUUAUUUUUUUUUUAAUCAAAUAUUCUAUAAAAUUAUAUCAUUUUUCAUUUUUGCAUAUUUAAAUAUCGAAAGCGUUACGAAUGAUUGAACGUAUAUCAUUGAUCGUAAACGAAGUCGACAGCGAGUAAGGAUUGUUAGAAGUUCAUAAGGUACGAAUGAGAAGAAAGGAAUCAAAAUGUUCGAAAAUAAUGUCACGAAAAAAGCGAUUGUUCGAAACGAUGAUUCUUCAAACUACUCGUUCGGCUUCGCUCAUCGCGAAGAAGUAGCGAGAAGUGAGACGAAAUUAUUACCAUCGAAAAAUCAAUAUGGCGACAAAAUAUCGAACGUCAAAUGAAUCGUGACGCAUCUACAUUCAUACCUUUAUUCUUCCUAUGUUGAGGGAAUAAGAGAACGCAUGGUACAUAAAGAACGGAGAUUGAUCGAUAAUUGAUAAUUUUAAAUUCAUUGAUCGGGUUAGACUUUCACCAGCCAAGAAUCGUUUACGUAAAUAAGUAAUACUAGUUUAAAAGCUCAAGAAUAGGCAAUCGAAUUUGAUUGGUCGUUUCUAAUAGAUUUAAUAUACGAAAUAAGAACACUGAUCGAAAGUGUCACCAUCUACAGAUAAGAUCAUAUAAUACCAUGUGAGCAGCAAGCGAGUAAACUAUACAACAUUUAUUUAUUACAUACUCGAACUUUUGUUGCGGAUACUAUAUGCUCGAGUCUUAUCCCCACCAUUGCAAAUUCUUUUUAGUGAAGUGUAUAAUAUCGUACCGAAAUAAUAUAUACGUAACGAAUUUUUUGAAAUAUACAAGUUUUCAAUUAAAUCUUUUGCUUAGUUCUCAUUACCUACCAUUUAUUAUUGUGAGCAAAAAUAAAAUAAGGUUAGAAUUAUAUAUAUUCCGAUCUUAUAACGAACGUAUAACGAAUAAAUAUUGUAUAUCUUUCUUAACUUCUAUAUUUCAAGUGUCAAUUCUUGAGCCUGAACUAGUGUAUUACGUUCAUGUUGUGAAUAUAUUUUACGUAACAAAAGAAAGAACGAAAGUGUUUCACAGAGACGCUGAGAAAAGUCGAAUUGGAUUUUUGAAUGUUUAUUAAGAUUCGAUUGAAUGAAUCGAUGCAAGGGGAAAGAAGUUUGCUACAAUUUUUAAUUAGAAAGUAAAUGUGCGACAAUCCCAUUGAUGUGUUUGUAUAUACCUACGCACACGUCUGUAUGAAUAUAUAUGUGUGGUUCGAUGUGUGUGCGCGCGCGCGUAUCUCGCCAAGCGAAAAGAAAAAAAAAUAUAUUUUGAUCAAUCUCUUCUACGAUACGAACGAGCUUUCGUUGCAUUAUUAGGAUCAUUAUCGUGUGAUUUUCCUUUACGAAGCUUGAUCUUCAGUGAAAUUGUAAUUGCAGAGCAUCGACAUAAUUUUAUGAUAUAAAUAUUAUCUUACGUACAUGGACGUACGAUAUUAAAAACGAAAAAAAAAAAGAAAAAAAUAACGUGGUAUAAAAAAAAAUACCAGAAGGAAAGAUAUCAAUUCGGUGUAUUAAUCCCCCCCCCCCCCAAAUCUCAUGGACGAUCGAUACAAAUUCGCCUCAAACUGAACGAUCUUUCUACGAUUUUGAUAAUAAUAUAACGCGAUGGAUAUAUAAAAUAAAACGGCAAAACGAAGGGAAAAGAAACAGAAAAGAAAAUGAAAACGAAAAAAAAAAAAAAAAGAAAGAAAGAAACAGGAGAAUAGAAAAGAACGAAAAAUUCCAUUACUUCCGGUUGAUGCGAAUUCGUUACGUCCAUAGGAAUGCGUUGACGCACAUGUUGUUAUCUAAUUGUUAGUAGAUUCAAGUUUAUACCGGCAAUUGUUAAUAAAGUUAGUAAGCAAAUA